RNAcentral lists this unclassified non-coding RNA (284 nucleotides) under plant metagenome. RNAcentral's name for it is "partial contains small subunit ribosomal RNA, internal transcribed spacer 1, and 5.8S ribosomal RNA". The stretch from base 1 to 53 matches the Rfam family "Eukaryotic small subunit ribosomal RNA", at positions 1778 to 1831 of the family's 1831-position model. The record is from RNAcentral.
GGAAGUAAAAUCGUAACAAGGUUUCCGUAGGUGAACCUGCGGAAGGAUCAUUAUUGUAUAACCGAGGUGCGAGGGCUGUCGCUGACCCGAAAGGUCGUGCACGCCCGAGUGCCCUCACACACAUCCAUCUCACCCCUAUGUGCACCACCGCGUGGGUCCCCCUUUGGCUUGUUCGGAGGGGGGCUUACGUUUUCACACAAACUUUGUAUGCAGUGUAGAAUGUAUUUUUUGUUUUUGCGAUCACGCAAUCAAUACAACUCUCAACAACGGAUCUCUUGGCUCUC